GACGAACGCUGGCGGCGUGCUUAACACAUGCAAGUCGAACGGCAAGGCCCUGCUUUUGUGGUGUGCUCGAGUGGCGAACGGGUGAGUAACACGUGAGUAACCUGCCCUUGACUUUGGGAUAACUUCAGGAAACUGGGGCUAAUACCGGAUAGGAGCUCCUGCUGCAUGGUGGGGGUUGGAAAGUUUCGGCUGUUGGGGAUGGACUCGCGGCUUAUCAGCUUGUUGGUGGGGUAGUUGCUUACCAAGGCUUUGACGGGUAGCCGGCCUGAGAGGGUGACCGGCCACAUUGGGACUGAGAUACGGACCAGACUCCUACGGGAGGCAGCAGUGGGGAAUAUUGCACAAUGGGCGGAAGCCUGAUGCAGCAACGCCGCGUGCGGGAUGACGGCCUUCGGGUUGUAAACCGCUUUCGCCUGUGACGAAGCGUGAGUGACGGUAAUGGGUAAAGAAGCACCGGCUAACUACGUG
RNAcentral lists this ribosomal RNA (468 nucleotides) under uncultured bacterium. RNAcentral describes it as "partial 16S ribosomal RNA". It matches the Rfam family "Bacterial small subunit ribosomal RNA", at positions 28 to 507 of the family's 1533-position model. The record is from RNAcentral.